This 89-nucleotide unclassified non-coding RNA is filed under the name Pseudomonas orientalis. The record is from RNAcentral. Lineage: Bacteria; Pseudomonadati; Pseudomonadota; Gammaproteobacteria; Pseudomonadales; Pseudomonadaceae.
UGUGGGAGGGGGCUUGCCCUCGAUAGCGGUGUGUCAGUCGAUAGAUUUUUGACUGACCCGCCGCCAUCGGGGGCAAGCCCCCUCCCACA